UAAUACGGAGGAUCCAAGCGUUAUCCGGAUUUAUUGGGUUUAAAGGGUGCGUAGGCGGCUUUUUAAGUCAGUGGUGAAAUCUUGCCGCUUAACGGUAAAAUUGCCAUUGAUACUGAUAAGCUUGAGUACAAUUGAGGUAAGCGGAAUGUGUAGUGUAGCGGUGAAAUGCUUAGAUAUUACACAGAACACCGAUUGCGAAGGCAGCUUACUAAACUGUCACUGACGCUGAUGCACGAAAGCGUGGGGAGCGAACAGGAUUAGAUACCCUGGUAGUCCACGCCGUAAACGAUGAUCACUCGCUGUAUGCGAUACACAGUAUGCGGCCAAGCGAAAGCAUUAAGUGAUCCACCUGGGGAGUACGAUCGCAAGGUUGAAACUUAAAGGAAUUGACGG
Molecule: ribosomal RNA, 393 nt
Filed under: bacterium enrichment culture
Lineage: Bacteria
Description: bacterial SSU rRNA
Rfam family: Bacterial small subunit ribosomal RNA
Source: RNAcentral